UCUCUGGUGGCUCAAACAGUAAAGAACCUGUCUGCAAUGCAGGAGACCCAGGUUCAAUCCCUGGUUGGGAAG
Non-coding RNA from Bos taurus (domestic cattle), 72 nucleotides. The record is from Rfam. Lineage: Eukaryota; Metazoa; Chordata; Mammalia; Artiodactyla; Bovidae.